UCUCUACCUCUGAACAGAAUUAUACAAACAGACCGACAUAUCGAUGUUCGAGUGGGCAUCUAGUCAGCUUCCCUCUCCUAUCUGCAGACCUACCGUUCUCGCUCCCUCUCUCUCGGUGAUAAAUCUGUCGGUGAUAUUUGGCUUUUCUCGUCAGCAAGUGCUACGUUUCCUCACCUCUUGUUGCAAUAUUUACCAUCUUUACCAUCAUUCAGACAAGAGCUUCAUAUGGGGGAGGUGGUUCCACUGGACAAAACACUUCGAUCCCUUUCAUCCUGGUUGCAUAGAUAUGAGUCAGAGGAAUGACAUCAUUGCUCAGAAUGCUGGAACAACAACAGGAACAUGUCUUCAACUAAGUCACAACUACCUACAAGCUCGCUAACAAGACCACUGUUCAGAGCAAUUGUAAGAUUAUUGAGAUUUUUUAUUUCCUGUUACAGGUGUUGUAGAUCUUUAUAUAAUGAGUAUGUAUCAAUGCUGUAAACGAAACCUUUUAGUGGUAGCAAUCUUGAUGUAUGUAUUGAAAUAAAGAUCAUGGAA
Long non-coding RNA from Carcharodon carcharias (great white shark), 537 nucleotides. RefSeq lists it as uncharacterized. The transcript has 2 exons. The record is from RefSeq and is a predicted model, not a curated record. Lineage: Eukaryota; Metazoa; Chordata; Chondrichthyes; Lamniformes; Lamnidae.